This 863-nucleotide unclassified non-coding RNA is filed under the name Hevea brasiliensis (rubber tree). The record is from RNAcentral. Lineage: Eukaryota; Viridiplantae; Streptophyta; Magnoliopsida; Malpighiales; Euphorbiaceae.
AAAUGAGCACCAAAAGCAGGGAAUCUGAUCCCAAAGUAUGCCACCAUUUCUCUUUUAGCAAUUAUUGGGAAUCUUAGCGAAAAUCAUCACAACACGUUUUCACACAGAGUCAAGCUCUACUACUAUUAUUGUUUUCAUGUCCACAACGUUCCUAAUAAGUUUAUUUAUACAUACUUGCAGCAAUCUUAAGUUGCAUUAGCCUUGCAUUUGCAAACUCUUCAAUUCACAUUCUCCUCAGCUUUCUACUUGUUCAUAGAAUGGAAAAGAAAGGAAAUAGCUGCCCCAUGGACGUGUUUGAAAAGAUCUACAAAGCAGUCACAGUCUUUCCUGCUUUCCAUGCAAUUCGUCGCAUAUCACAUCUCGUACAACAUUCCAGGUCAGACAGCCCUGCUUCAAAAUCUUCGCCACCAGCUUCCUCUGUGAAAAUCAUUGAUAUCCAAUCCAAACCACCUUCUUCAAAACAUCCCAAAUCACCUAGAAAUGAGAAAGUAGCUACCGCGGUUCCCAUAAUCUUUGAUUAUUCAAGCCAGAAUGAGAAACCGAAGCCUGAUACUCCACCUGAGCCCUUUCAGAAGAACACCCAAAUAGCAAAAGUCGCUUCCAAGAUUGAACGUGAAGCUACACCAGGAAACACCAUUGCUGGUGAAGUAAAUAAGGUCAAUCCUAAAGGGAAAUUGGAAAAGGAAAGUGGGAAAUCAGGAGUGCAUAUUGAAGAUAGAUUCACUGAAUAUAUCAAUCGUUCAAAGUUAAACAUCAGAACUAUGUCAAAAUCAAGUGAAGGAAACAGUGUCUCUGGUAAAGAUAAAGACAAGUUAUCAGACAAUAGCUCCGGAAAGGACAAGUUUUCGGAUUACAUUGAUCGU